UGUCUUUGGACCCGCGAUGCACCUGUUCACGCUUCACGGCGACAAGAAGACGACCAGCAUGAGAUACUCGCCCAUUCAAGAACAACAACAGAAAAAGAAAGGAAAAGACACGCGCCGCCUUCACAGGGAUAUGCUUCCCACCAGCCAACACCGGCUUCAGGCGAAGUCGAACGCACCGCAUUCUCGCCAGUGUUCCUUUGUGCCCGUGGCUAUUGCGUCGCGAGAGGCGAAAAGGGAGUGGGGAAGGCAGCACGACACGCGAGCCGAUAGAGCCGAUUCCUUUGGUCCAACAUGCGCUUCUCUGGGACCUCUGUUUACCGCCGCCGUCCUCUUUCCCUCCCCACGUUACUGUGGAGCCCACACGCGGUGGAGAGCAAAGAGGCAGCGAUGCUUUCGCACUUGUGGAUGCUACCCGAAG
This 418-nucleotide unclassified non-coding RNA is filed under the name Leishmania donovani. RNAcentral describes it as "gene:unknown". Lineage: Eukaryota; Euglenozoa; Kinetoplastea; Trypanosomatida; Trypanosomatidae. The record is from RNAcentral.